UUCUCUUUCCACUUAUGCUUGAAAUUGAGUUGUUCAGAGAAGAAGCAACGGUUUCAUCAUUGCAAUGGACCAUUGAUGGCAUCUAAUUCAUGUCAAUCCCUUGUUGAAACAUUCUCACAUGAGAGUUCCUAUGUGCCAUGCGUUUCAUUGUGAAUGAGGAAAUGACAAUCUUUUAAUUAAUUGAAGCCUCAAAGGUUAGUUUUGAAAACUAAGACCUUUUACUGAAUUUUCUAUAUUUCAUGUUGGGUUUUCUUGUGUAAAGUUACUGAGUUUUAUUUUUUAUU
RNAcentral lists this unclassified non-coding RNA (284 nucleotides) under Hevea brasiliensis (rubber tree). Lineage: Eukaryota; Viridiplantae; Streptophyta; Magnoliopsida; Malpighiales; Euphorbiaceae. The record is from RNAcentral.